Molecule: ribosomal RNA, 382 nt
Filed under: uncultured eukaryote
Lineage: Eukaryota
Description: partial 18S ribosomal RNA
Rfam family: Eukaryotic small subunit ribosomal RNA
Source: RNAcentral
CAAUAGCGUAUAUUAAAGUUGUUGCAGUUAAAAAGCUCGUAGUUGGAUUUCUGGUUGAAGCGACCGGUCGGGCGUUGAUUCGUCUGCACUGGAGUCGGUUUUGGCCAUCCUCUAGGAAAGUGCGUCUGGUAUUAAGUUAUCGGGCGUAUGAUCCUGGUCUUUUACUGUGAAAAAAUUAGAGGGUUUAAAGCAGGCCUUCGCCUUGAAUACAUUAGCAUGGAAUAAUAAGAUAGGACUUUGGUCUAUUUUGUUGGUUUGCAGACCGAAGUAAUGAUUAAUAGGGAUAGUUGGGGGUAUUUAUAUUCCGAUGUCAGAGGUGAAAUUCUUAGAUUUUCGGAAGAUAAACUUAUGCGAAAGCAUUUACCAAGGAUGGUUUCAUUAA